UUAUCCUUUGUUGCCAGCGAUUAGGUCGGGAACUCAAAGGAGACUGCCAGUGAUAAACUGGAGGAAGGUGGGGAUGACGUCAAGUCAUCAUGGCCCUUACGACCAGGGCUACACACGUGCUACAAUGGCGCAUACAAAGAGAAGCGACCUCGCGAGAGCAAGCGGACCUCAUAAAGUGCGUCGUAGUCCGGAUUGGAGUCUGCAACUCGACUCCAUGAAGUCGGAAUCGCUAGUAAUCGUGGAUCAGAAUGCCACGGUGAAUACGUUCCCGGGCCUUGUACACACCGCCCGUCACACCAUGGGAGUGGGUUGCAAAAGAAGUAGGUAGCUUAACCUUCGGGAGGGCGCUUACCACUUUGUGAUUCAUGACUGGGGUGAAGUCGUAACAAGGUAACCGUAGGGGAACCUGCGGUUGGA
This 417-nucleotide ribosomal RNA is filed under the name Salmonella enterica subsp. enterica serovar Muenchen. Its description in RNAcentral is "partial 16S ribosomal RNA". It matches the Rfam family "Bacterial small subunit ribosomal RNA", at positions 1105 to 1522 of the family's 1533-position model. Lineage: Bacteria; Pseudomonadati; Pseudomonadota; Gammaproteobacteria; Enterobacterales; Enterobacteriaceae. RNAcentral also lists the same sequence under 5 other names. The record is from RNAcentral.